Molecule: ribosomal RNA, 497 nt
Filed under: uncultured bacterium
Lineage: Bacteria
Description: partial 16S ribosomal RNA
Rfam family: Bacterial small subunit ribosomal RNA
Source: RNAcentral
GAUGAACGCUGGCGGCGUGCCUAAUACAUGCAAGUCGAGCGAACAGACGAGGAGCUUGCUCCUUUGACGUUAGCGGCGGACGGGUGAGUAACACGUAGGUAACCUACCUAUAAGACUGGGAUAACUUCGGGAAACCGGAGCUAAUACCGGAUAAUAUUUCGAACCGCAUGGUUCGAUAGUGAAAGAUGGCUUUGCUAUCACUUAUAGAUGGACCUGCGCCGUAUUAGCUAGUUGGUAAGGUAACGGCUUACCAAGGCAACGAUACGUAGCCGACCUGAGAGGGUGAUCGGCCACACUGGAACUGAGACACGGUCCAGACUCCUACGGGAGGCAGCAGUAGGGAAUCUUCCGCAAUGGGCGAAAGACUGACGGAGCAACGCCGCGUGAGUGAUGAAGGUAUUCGGAUCGUAAAACUCUGUUAUUAGGGAAGAACAAACGUGUAAGUAACUGUGCACGUCUUGACGGUACCUAAUCAGAAAGCCACGGCUAACUACGUG